This 496-nucleotide ribosomal RNA is filed under the name uncultured bacterium. RNAcentral describes it as "partial 16S ribosomal RNA". It matches the Rfam family "Bacterial small subunit ribosomal RNA", at positions 28 to 507 of the family's 1533-position model. The record is from RNAcentral.
GACGAACGCUGGCGGCGUGCCUAAUACAUGCAAGUUGAGCGAUGAAGAUUGGUGCUUGCACCAAUUUGAAGAGCAGCGAACGGGUGAGUAACGCGUGGGGAAUCUGCCUUUGAGCGGGGACAACAUUUGGAAACGAAUGCUAAUACCGCAUAACAACUUUAAACAUAAGUUUUAAGUUUGAAAGAUGCAAUUGCAUCACUCAAAGAUGAUCCCGCGUUGUAUUAGCUAGUUGGUGAGGUAAAGGCUCACCAAGGCGAUGAUACAUAGCCGACCUGAGAGGGUGAUCGGCCACAUUGGGACUGAGACACGGCCCAAACUCCUACGGGAGGCAGCAGUAGGGAAUCUUCGGCAAUGGACGAAAGUCUGACCGAGCAACGCCGCGUGAGUGAAGAAGGGUUUCGGAUCGUAAAACUCUGUUGGUAGAGAAGAACGUUGGUGAGAGUGGAAAGCUCAUCAAGUGACGGUAACUACCCAGAAAGGGACGGCUAACUACGUG